GAUCAUGGCUCAGAACGAACGCUGGCGGCAGGCUUAACACAUGCAAGUCGAACGCACCGCAAGGUGAGUGGCAGACGGGUGAGUAACGCGUGGGAACCUUCCCUUUGGUACGGAAUAACUUCGGGAAACCGAAGCUAAUACCGUAUAUCUCCUCCGGGAGAAAGAUUUAUCGCCAAAGGAUGGGCCCGCGUUGGAUUAGCUAGUUGGUAGGGUAACGGCCUACCAAGGCGACGAUCCAUAGCUGGUCUGAGAGGAUGAUCAGCCACACUGGGACUGAGACACGGCCCAGACUCCUACGGGAGGCAGCAGUGGGGAAUAUUGGACAAUGGGCGCAAGCCCUGAUCCAGCCAUGCCGCGUGAGUGAAGAAGGCCUUAGGGUUGUAAAGCUCUUUUGGCGGGGACGAUAAUGACGGUACCCGCAGAAUAAGCCCCGGCUAACUUCGUGCCAGCCGCCGC
RNAcentral lists this ribosomal RNA (456 nucleotides) under uncultured bacterium. Its description in RNAcentral is "bacterial SSU rRNA". It matches the Rfam family "Bacterial small subunit ribosomal RNA", at positions 15 to 518 of the family's 1533-position model. The record is from RNAcentral.